RNAcentral lists this ribosomal RNA (492 nucleotides) under uncultured bacterium. RNAcentral describes it as "partial 16S ribosomal RNA". It matches the Rfam family "Bacterial small subunit ribosomal RNA", at positions 29 to 507 of the family's 1533-position model. The record is from RNAcentral.
AGUGAACGCUGGCGGUAGGCCUAACACAUGCAAGUCGAACGGCAGCACAGUAAGAGCUUGCUCUUACGGGUGGCGAGUGGCGGACGGGUGAGGAAUACAUCGGAAUCUACUUUUUCGUGGGGGAUAACGUAGGGAAACUUACGCUAAUACCGCAUACGACCUACGGGUGAAAGCAGGGGAUCUUCGGACCUUGCGCGAUUGAAUGAGCCGAUGUCGGAUUAGCUAGUUGGCGGGGUAAAGGCCCACCAAGGCGACGAUCCGUAGCUGGUCUGAGAGGAUGAUCAGCCACACUGGAACUGAGACACGGUCCAGACUCCUACGGGAGGCAGCAGUGGGGAAUAUUGGACAAUGGGCGCAAGCCUGAUCCAGCCACACCGCGUGGGUGAAGAAGGCCUUCGGGUUGUAAAGCCCUUUUGUAGGGAAAGAAAAGCAGCAGGUUAAUACCCCGCUGUUCUGACGGUACCCAAAGAAUAAGCACCGGCUAACUUCGUG